Molecule: ribosomal RNA, 440 nt
Filed under: uncultured bacterium
Lineage: Bacteria
Description: partial 16S ribosomal RNA
Rfam family: Bacterial small subunit ribosomal RNA
Source: RNAcentral
CCUACGGGUGGCAGCAGUGGGGAAUAUUGCACAAUGGGGGAAACCCUGAUGCAGCGACGCCGCGUGAGUGAAGAAGUAUUUCGGUAUGUAAAGCUCUAUCAGCAGGGAAGAAAAUGAAGGUACCUGAUUAAGAAGCCCCGGCUAACUACGUGCCAGCAGCCGCGGUAAUACGUAGGGGGCACGCGUUAUCCGGAUUUACUGGGUGUAAGGGGAGCGUAUACGGCAGCACAAGUCUGGAGGGAAAUGCCGGGGCUUAACCCCGGAACUGCUUUGGAAACUGUGAAGCUAGAGUGCAGGAGAGGUAAGUGGAAUUCCUAGUGUAGCGGUGAAAUGCGUAGAUAUUAGGAGGAACACCAGUGGCGAAGGCGGCUUACUGGACUGUAACUGACGUUGAGGCUCGAAAGCGUGGGAAGCAAACAGGAUUAGAUACCCGGGUAGUC